This 443-nucleotide ribosomal RNA is filed under the name uncultured bacterium. RNAcentral describes it as "partial 16S ribosomal RNA". It matches the Rfam family "Bacterial small subunit ribosomal RNA", at positions 338 to 795 of the family's 1533-position model. The record is from RNAcentral.
CCUACGGGCGGCAGCAGUGGGGAAUAUUGCACAAUGGGGGAAACCCUGAUGCAGCAACGCCGCGUGAAGGAAGACGGUUUUCGGAUUGUAAACUUCUAUCAAUAGGGAAGAAAGAAAUGACGGUACAUAAAUAAGAAGCCCCGGCUAACUACGUGCCAGCAGCCGCGGUAAUACGUAGGGGGCAAGCGUUAUCCGGAAUUACUGGGUGUGAAGGGAGAGUAGGCGGCAAGGUAAGUGAGAUGUGAAAGCCUGAAGCUUAACUUAAGGAUUGCAUAACGAACUAGAUAGCUAGAGUGCAGGAGAGGAAAGCGGAAUUCCUAGUGUAGCGGUGAAAUGCGUAGAUAUUAGGAAGAACACCAGUGGCGAAGGCGGCUUUCUGGCCUGAAACUGACGCUGAGGCUCGAAAGCGUGGGGAGCGAACAGGAUUAGAUACCCCGGUAGUC